CUCUAUGGUGGCUGUGCGUGGUGCACCUUUGUGUGCGCCGGGUUUGCAUCUCUGUCGACCGGUCUGUCAACCCAUGCACAGCUGCCACCCCA
Molecule: non-coding RNA, 92 nt
Filed under: Pseudomonas sp. URMO17WK12:I7
Lineage: Bacteria; Pseudomonadati; Pseudomonadota; Gammaproteobacteria; Pseudomonadales; Pseudomonadaceae
Also listed under: 1 other name
Source: RNAcentral